RNAcentral lists this ribosomal RNA (413 nucleotides) under uncultured bacterium. Its description in RNAcentral is "bacterial SSU rRNA". It matches the Rfam family "Bacterial small subunit ribosomal RNA", at positions 505 to 916 of the family's 1533-position model. The record is from RNAcentral.
GUGUCAGCCGCCGCGGUAAUACGUAGGUGGCGAGCGUUGUCCGGAAUUACUGGGUGUAAAGGGCGUGUAGGCGGGAUGGCAAGUCAGAUGUGAAAUACCGGGGCUUAACCCUGGUGCUGCAUCUGAAACUGCUGUUCUUGAGUGCCGGAGAGGAAAGCGGAAUUCCCAGUGUAGCGGUGAAAUGCGUAGAUAUUGGGAGGAACACCGGUGGCGAAGGCGGCUUUCUGGACGGUAACUGACGCUGAGGCGCGAAAGCGUGGGGAGCAAACAGGAUUAGAUACCCUGGUAGUCCACGCCGUAAACGAUGGAUACUAGGUGUAGGAGGUGUAAAUACCUUCUGUGCCGGAGUUAACACAAUAAGUAUCCCACCUGGGGAGUACGGUCGCAAGGCUGAAACUCAAAGAAAUUGACGG